AGCUUUGCGCAGUGGCAGUAUCAUAGCCAAUGAGAUUUAUCCGAGGCGCGAUUAUUGCUCAUUGGAAACUUUUCCCAAUACCCCAUGAGGAUGACUUGAAAUAUAGUCGGCAUUGGCAAUUUCUGACUGUCUCUACAGAC
Cebus imitator (Panamanian white-faced capuchin) is the source of this 140-nucleotide small nuclear RNA. Its record names the gene U4. It matches the Rfam family "U4 spliceosomal RNA". From Rfam's summary of the family: U4 small nuclear RNA (U4 snRNA) is a component of the major U2-dependent spliceosome. The structure of U4 snRNA from yeast and human has been reported. U4 snRNA presents a k-turn RNA motif in the 5p-SL related to recognition of Snu13 protein. The record is from Ensembl. NCBI's taxonomy places the organism in Eukaryota, Metazoa, Chordata, Mammalia, Primates, Cebidae.